RNAcentral lists this long non-coding RNA (3241 nucleotides) under Mytilus galloprovincialis (Mediterranean mussel). Lineage: Eukaryota; Metazoa; Mollusca; Bivalvia; Mytilida; Mytilidae. The record is from RNAcentral.
UUAAUGUUUUUAUAUAUGCAAAUGAAUUAUUUCUAAAUUUAUAAAAUUUAUCAGAAAUGUAUAAAUUCCUAGAAUUCAACUUGAAAAAUAAGUUAUAUAGGGUUUUCUCAGUGUGUAUAUGGAUGGAAAUUAUAUCAUUAAGUCAACAUAACUAGUGCACCAUUCAUUAUUUUAUGUGAGACAAAAUAGAACUGUAAAUGACAAUUUCAAAGUUAAUAUGAAAUAUCAUGCAAUGGAAAAUGAAUAAGUCUGAUGAAAUAAAUGGAAAAAAGAAUUGUCUUCUUAUAAGUUUCCCUAGCUACACACUAAAUAUUCUCAAUAAUUACCUUCAGUAAAUGUUACAUUUACCAAAAAAUCAACUUACAACCCAAAAUUAUUGUAAACACUUUUAACAGAUUCAUUCAAACAAUCAAAGUAAAAGAUAAUUUGUUAACAGUAAAAAUGCACCUUCCUUUAAAAUAUUGCACACAUAUAUAGCUGACAACUAAGAUGAAUACAGUUUUUAUAUUAAUGCUGUAAGUAUAUAAAUAUGACCAUGCAAUAAUCUUAACUUCUAUUAGUUUGAUGUAAAACUAAAACUUUUUAUGAAACUAUUUUCAUUGUCAUACAAGAAUGUUAGGUUUCAAAAAGUUUGACUAAGAGAAGACGAAUAAUCAAUAAUCAUGUUUACAAGUGAAUAGAAUCAUAACAAAUAUACUAACUAAUAAAUAAUCAGGGAAUCACUAUAAGACGUAAAUAAAACAUUAGAAGUGAAAUCUCUUCUGUCACAUGACACUUACAGCAUAAAACUAUCAUAUGUUUAAAUAGUAUUGAGAAAAGAUGUGUAAUAACAUCCUGACUUCAGUAACUUACAUUCUAUUAAGCAAACUUCACAAACAGUGUAAAGUCAAAUGAUUUUUAGAUUAUAUAUAACUGAAGCGCCUUCCUAAAAAUCUUGAAAAUAUGUCAAUAUUCUAUGUAAGCUAUAUACUGCAGGUAAUCUUUAGAAGCAAACUGGUUCAAGACAAAAAUAAAAGUUAUAACCCCCAAACAUAUUUAGGGGGGGGGGGGAGGUAGGAAUGGUCUUGAUCCUGAAAUCCCAAGGUCGAAUGGAUCUCGAAAGGGUCAAUCCUGAAAUCCUGAGCUUAAAAACACCUGAUCCCAGAGUCCUGAUAAAGGUCCUACCCCCCUCACAUAUCAUACUUAAUUGGCAAAAUACCCUGUGGUUAUAUUAGUUGUUUUUCCUAAAUAACACCUACAGAUAUUUUUUUGUCUACGGGUAUCUAAUGUUUUGCUGAAAUGGACAUCAUUUUGGGUUUUGCCUAUUUCACAUAAUUAAGGGAAUAUUUAGGUGAUCUUUUUAACUUGCAAUUUACCAAGAAACCUCUAAUUUGGGUUAAGGGUCUGGAAUUGCCUAGAUAUAUAGAAAUUCUUAUGGUACAUGUAUAUCUUUUAAUUUAAUAUGUGUAUUUGAAAACUUUGGUAAAGGCAAAUAUUAUAAGUUUAAAUAUGAUUUAUGUACAGGUUGUAGUAUAAAACUAAAUGUACCAAAGAUGAACAAGAGUUUUAAUCAUUGCAUUAAUUUUCAAAGUUAUUAAAUUCUUUUUAAGAUUAAAUUUAUAAAAUUGGAACACCAUGAAAUCUGAGCAAAAAACCCUAAUGUGAUAUACAUUUAAAAGGUCACAUCAUAAUGAAACUUUCAACUGAAUUUAGCUCAACUUCCAGGACUCAGUUAACGUUGCUUAAAACAGUUGACCAAUGGAUAAACUUGUCCAUUAGGUAAGUGACACUAUUUCAACAUAAUUUUUUCAUUGGUCAACAGUUAUCCAGCAAUCCAGUCCUGAUAAACUUCUUUUAAUCAAAACCUUAACACCUGCCUUAAACAAAAUCCAGAUACUGGACAAUGAAUAAACAGAUGGGUAUAAACACAUAAAAAGAAAAACAAGAAUGUAUAUGUGUCCCAAGUACACAGAUGCCCCACUUGCACUAUCAUUUCCUAUGUUCAGUUGACCAUGAAAUUGGGGUAAAAAACUCUAAUUUGGCAUUAAAAUUAGAAAGAUCAUACCAUAGGGAACAUGUGUACUAAGUUUCAAGUUCAUUGGACUUAACUUCUUCAAAAACUACCUUGACCAAAAACUUUAACCUGAAGUGGGACAAACGAACGGACGGACGAACAGACCCACAGACCAGAAAACAUAAUGCCCCUCUACUAUGGUAGGUGGGGCAUAAAAAAUGCCCCUCUACUAUGGUAGGUGGGGCAUAAAAAAUGCUGUCUGCUAUUGUAGGCAGGCCAUAAAAUAUGAACAAGCAGUGAAGCUUGUGUAUUGGGAAUGAUUUAGCAAGGUAAUUGAAGAUUUACUAAGAAAUCUUAAUAUUUAAAAUUAAAAUUCAGCAUUUUAUUUCAAAUGAGAAUUCUGAAGAGCCAGUCUUAACAGAUUUUUUGCAAACAAUUCUAGAGGACAUUUUCUUAUCAAAGCUUCGUCCUAUAAAGCAGAUUUCACUCUUAUCAAGGAUCUAAUUUCUAUUUACCAAAUUCCAAGGCUGAAUCAACUGAAGGUGGUGUUACUUGACAAAGCAAAUUUAGCAGAUACUGUAGUCAGGUAUUGUCAAAUUUAAUGUUUAUUAACCCUCAUUCAGUCUGGCUGAUUUUUCAUGUCAAAUAAAAAGUUAACAACAUAAAAAAAAAAAUGCUGGUUCCAGAUUUGUUCAUAUGAAUAAGUUUCUAAUUAAUGCUGAUUUCAUAUUUAGAGAGGGAAAAAAGGGGGGUAAGUCUUUAUGAAAAUAACUAUUGAAAAAUUUUGUGUGUCGAAAGCACUUUGUGGAUCCUCAUACAUUUAUAAGGAAUUCUCAACUCCCCAUCCCUCCCAAAGAAUAAGCCAUGAAUUUAUGGAUACCACAGAUGUCAGUAGAUAUAUAACUAAAAGGGACAUAAAAGUUACAAGGACAAUAUGCUACUUGCUAAAUUGUCUACAUUUAAAGCUAUCUGUUUCCCACCAUCUAUAAAAAGAAUAUGCAGCAAGAGAUCAAAUGAAGCAUUGUUGGUUUUUAUUGGUGGUUCAGGGGAACAGGAUUGAGAAAAAGACACAAGGGGUACCAUACUGUAUUUGCAUUAACCAGAUGACUGUACCACUUCAAUGUUUCUAAUAGUGCAAAUGUAUGUACUCAUUCUUUUAAUAGUAACAUAACUCUAUUAAAAAAAUGUUCUAAAAGAAAGAAAAUUAUAGUUAGCAAUCUCAACACAUUUUUCCAAAUUAAAUUUAAC